UACGUAGGGUGCAAGCGUUGUCCGGAAUUAUUGGGCGUAAAGAGCUCGUAGGCGGUUUGUCGCGUCUGCUGUGAAAACUCGGGGCUUAACCCCGGGCCUGCAGUGGGUACGGGCAGACUAGAGUGCGGUAGGGGAGACUGGAAUUCCUGGUGUAGCGGUGAAAUGCGCAGAUAUCAGGAGGAACACCGGUGGCGAAGGCGGCGCUCUGGACCGAGACUGACGCUGAGGCGCGAAAGCGUGGGGAGCAAACAGG
RNAcentral lists this ribosomal RNA (253 nucleotides) under uncultured bacterium. RNAcentral's name for it is "partial 16S ribosomal RNA". It matches the Rfam family "Bacterial small subunit ribosomal RNA", at positions 524 to 776 of the family's 1533-position model. The record is from RNAcentral.